UUACAAGGAAACAGUCCGGACUGGAAGGUCCACAGGCGUAGCUGUCAGCUCCAGGUUACUACAGUCCACUGAAUCUCCGUUGCAGAUCGGACAGGAAAUGCCUGCCUGAUUGGAAAGAUUAACGAAAGCUUCUGCCAGCUGUUGAAGAAACGUGUGAAGAUGCAAGAAGAACAUCUGUUGCACAUCUGUCCAUCCUGGGAGAGGGAUCCCUCCUCUGUUUCUCUUCCUGAGGUUUCUUCCUUUU
Thunnus maccoyii (southern bluefin tuna) is the source of this 244-nucleotide long non-coding RNA. RefSeq lists it as uncharacterized. The record is from RefSeq and is a predicted model, not a curated record. NCBI's taxonomy places the organism in Eukaryota, Metazoa, Chordata, Actinopteri, Scombriformes, Scombridae. The transcript has 3 exons.